This 410-nucleotide ribosomal RNA is filed under the name Verrucomicrobiota bacterium. RNAcentral's name for it is "Verrucomicrobia bacterium partial 16S ribosomal RNA". It matches the Rfam family "Bacterial small subunit ribosomal RNA", at positions 355 to 776 of the family's 1533-position model. Lineage: Bacteria; Pseudomonadati; Verrucomicrobiota. The record is from RNAcentral.
UGGGGAAUCUUGCACAAUGGGCGAAAGCCUGAUGCAGCGACGCCGCGUGCGGGAUGAAGGCCUUCGGGUUGUAAACCGCUUUCAGCAGGGACGAGGCCGCAAGGUGACGGUACCUGCAGAAGAAGCCCCGGCUAACUACGUGCCAGCAGCCGCGGUAAUACGUAGGGGGCAAGCGUUAUCCGGAUUCAUUGGGCGUAAAGCGCGCGUAGGCGGUCUGUUAGGUCAGGAGUUAAAUCUGGGGGCUCAACCCCUAUCCGCUCCUGAUACCGGCAGGCUUGAGUCUGGUAGGGGAAGAUGGAAUUCCAAGUGUAGCGGUGAAAUGCGCAGAUAUUUGGAAGAACACCGGUGGCGAAGGCGGCCUUCUGGGCCACGACUGACGCUGAGGCGCGAAAGCUAGGGGAGCGAACAGG